GUGGCACUGUCCGGCAUUAAAAUUUUCAUUGUCCCAAAAUAAAGAACUCUUCUUUUGAAAAAUUGGUUCCCAUGGUUUGUUCUUGAGAUAUUUCAUUUUGUUUAAAACCAUGUGACGUCAUUUACUCAAUUCCAUAUAAAAUAUAUAAUGGAAUAUCAGUAAAUGUUGUGUGUCUUUGCUAUUCUUGACGGAUUUGGUUACAAAACAGUAUGCUUAAUGAUGUAUGUAAUUAAAUUAACAAAUCGCCGCAUCUUUGGAAAGAUUUUGAUAAAAAAUAGCAAAGAUACACAACACAUUACAUAUGUAAUUUAGUAAAUGACGUCACACGGUUACAAAUAAAACUAGUAUCUGUAUCUCAAGAACUAAGGAUGGGGAACAAACAUCUUCAAAAUAAGUUACUAUACAGUUUUAAGAGUAUUUUCGUUUAAGAAAAUAAAAAUUUUAAUGACAGUACCGCUUUAAUGAUAUUCUGUUAUUGACGUUCCUCUAACUUAAAUGGUCUGUACCAAUGCAGGUAUAGUGCCGAUAAUUACAAAGCUUUGGUUGAUAAAGAUGCAACUAUCUGAAAAAUACCAAAAGAACUUCACUAGAAACGUCGAAGUUCUCUUUGAAUUUUUCAGGUUGUUCAAACCAAGAACAUACAAAGGUUUCAUCCCUCCAAAUGGAAAGAUACUACUCGGUAAGUUUCCACUAAACUAUCUUGGAAUAUCAUAAAUUCUACCCAAUCUUUUAUUGGCAAAUAUUAUUAAAAUCUAUUAUUUUAAAUAAAAUAUUUACCGUAAUAAUGUUACAACUGUCUAGAUCAGUGUUUUACUAAUUAUUUUUCAAAAGCACACGAAUUUUAUACAGAAUAUUGAAACAUGUUUAAAUAAAAAGCAACCAGAUAGCCUCCAAAGUGCUAAUAGACAAAUAGAUCCUAGACUAAUAAACUAAUCUGCUAUUAUUAUUAUGAUAACAGUUUAUGAUCUCCUAACUGUGAUUAUGAUCCUCUUACUAAUUAUUUUUCAAAAGCACACGAAUUUUAUACAGAAUAUUAAAACAUGUUUAAAAGCAACCAGAUAGCUUCCAAGGUGCUAAUAAAUAAAUAGAUCCUAGACGAAUAACCUAAUCUGCUAUCAUUAUUAUGAUAACAGUUUAUGAUCCCCUAACUGUGAUUAUGAUCCUCUUACUAAUUAUUUUUCAAAAGCACACGAAUUUUAUACAGAAUAUUAAAACAUGUUUAAAAGCAACCAGAUAGCUUCCAAGGUGCUAAUAAAUAAAUAGAUCCUAGACGAAUAACCUAAUCUGCUAUCAUUAUUAUGAUAACAGUUUAUGAUCCCCUAACUGUGAUUAUGAUCCUCUUACUAAUUAUUUUUCAAAAGCACACGAAUUUUAUACAGAAUAUUAAAACAUGUUUAAAAGCAACCAGAUAGCUUCCAAGGUGCUAAUAAAUAAAUAGAUCCUAGACGAAUAACCUAAUCUGCUAUCAUUAUUAUGAUAACAGUUUAUGAUCCCCUAACUGUGAUUAUGAUCCUCUUACUAAUUAUUUUUCAAAAGCACACGAAUUUUAUACAGAAUAUUAAAACAUGUUUAAAAGCAACCAGAUAGCUUCCAAGGUGCUAAUAAAUAAAUAGAUCCUAGACGAAUAACCUAAUCUGCUAUCAUUAUUAUGAUAACAGUUUAUGAUCCCCUAACUGUGAUUAUGAUCCUCUUACUAAUUAUUUUUCAAAAGCACACGAAUUUUAUACAGAAUAUUAAAACAUGUUUAAAAGCAACCAGAU
Non-coding RNA from Paramuricea clavata, 1760 nucleotides. Lineage: Eukaryota; Metazoa; Cnidaria; Anthozoa; Malacalcyonacea; Plexauridae. The record is from the annotation of a GenBank genome assembly.